GAGUUUGAUCGUGGCUCAGGAUGAACGCUGGCGGCGUGCUUAACACAUGCAAGUCGAACGAGGAAUUUUAAAUGAGACUUCGGUGGAUUUUAAAAUUCUUAGUGGCGGACGGGUGAGUAACGCGUGGGCAACCUGCCCUGUACAGGGGGACAACAGCUGGAGACGGCUGCUAAUACCGCAUAAGACCACGGAGCCGCAUGGCUCAGUGGGAAAAACUCCGGUGGUACAGGAUGGGCCCGCGUUGGAUUAGGUAGUUGGUGAGGUAACGGCCCACCAAGCCGACGAUCCAUAGCCGACCUGAGAGGGUGACCGGCCACGUUGGGACUGAGACACGGCCCAAACUCCUACGGGAGGCAGCAGUGGGGAAUCUUCCGCAAUGGGCGAAAGCCUGACGGAGCAACGCCGCGUGAGUGAAGAAUUAUUUCGGUAUGUAAAGCUCUAUCAGCAGGGAAGAAAAUGACGGUACCUGACUAAGAAGCCCCGGCUAACUACGUGACAGCCGCCGCCGUAAG
This 512-nucleotide ribosomal RNA is filed under the name uncultured microorganism. RNAcentral's name for it is "bacterial SSU rRNA". It matches the Rfam family "Bacterial small subunit ribosomal RNA", at positions 9 to 524 of the family's 1533-position model. The record is from RNAcentral.